Long non-coding RNA from Rhagoletis pomonella (apple maggot), 573 nucleotides. RefSeq lists it as uncharacterized. The transcript has 2 exons. NCBI's taxonomy places the organism in Eukaryota, Metazoa, Arthropoda, Insecta, Diptera, Tephritidae. The record is from RefSeq and is a predicted model, not a curated record.
CCAGGGCUGCAUGCAUAGUGGAAAAGAGGCCAGAACAAAUGCAUAACAUCAACAAGAAGACAAACCAGAAUAUAAUCGCAAUGGAAAAUGAAGUCAUAUCGUUGAAUGGGGCAGAUAUAUGCAGUAGUAGAUGCAUCCAUAGAUGGAUGUGGGUAAUGGAGUACGAAGAACAGAGCAACAUAGGAUGGUGCGAGUAAAAAUAUUAAAGUGCAGUAAAAUGUGGCAGUAUGUUUGUAGUUCAGUUGUUACCUUACUAAGCCAUUCACAUCAGAGAGAAUUUGGCGUUCAUUAUGGAGCACGUUUAGAUUCUGGAAUGACAACUGUAACGUACGAUGAUGCGGUUCCGCAUCGGAUAUGAAAGGAAAUGUAGACAUUGUGUGCUCACUGCUGAAAUGAUACAGAAAUACAUACAAAGCAAUGGAAUUAGUAUGCGAUUUUUUUCUUUCAAAUUACUGCUAGUGUUGUAAAUAUGUACAUACAUAUGUAUUUAUGUAUGCAUAUUCAAGUUUAUAAUGAAAUGCAAAAAUUAGAAGAAAAUAAACAUAGGCAUAGUCGGACUUGAUCGAAAAGUUU